UACGUAGGUGGUGAGCGUUAUCCGGAAUUAUUGGGCGUAAAGAGCGCGCAGGUGGUUGAUUAAGUCUGAUGUGAAAGCCCACGGCUUAACCGUGGAGGGUCAUUGGAAACUGGUCAACUUGAGUGCAGAAGAGGGAAGUAGAAUUCCAUGUGUAGCGGUGAAAUGCGUAGAGAUAUGGAGGAACACCAGUGGCGAAGGCGGCUUCCUGGUCUGUAACUGACACUGAGGCGCGAAAGCGUGGGGAGCAAACAGGAUUAGAUA
Molecule: ribosomal RNA, 261 nt
Filed under: uncultured prokaryote
Description: partial 16S ribosomal RNA
Rfam family: Bacterial small subunit ribosomal RNA
Source: RNAcentral